UACGAAGGGGGCUAGCGUUGCUCGGAAUCACUGGGCGUAAAGCGCACGUAGGCGGGUCUUUAAGUCUGGUGUCUAAGUGCGGGGCUCAACCCCGUGAUGCACUGGAAACUGGGGAACUUGAGUGCAGAAGAGGAGAGCGGAAUUCCACGUGUAGCGGUGAAAUGCGUAGAGAUGUGGAGGAACACCGAUGGCGAAGGCAGCCCCCUGGGCUGAGAUUGACGCUCAGGCACGAAAGCGUGGGGAGCAAACAGG
Molecule: ribosomal RNA, 252 nt
Filed under: uncultured bacterium
Lineage: Bacteria
Description: partial 16S ribosomal RNA
Rfam family: Bacterial small subunit ribosomal RNA
Source: RNAcentral